RNAcentral lists this ribosomal RNA (2959 nucleotides) under Pogostemon cablin (patchouli). RNAcentral's name for it is "bacterial LSU rRNA". It matches the Rfam family "Bacterial large subunit ribosomal RNA". Lineage: Eukaryota; Viridiplantae; Streptophyta; Magnoliopsida; Lamiales; Lamiaceae. The record is from RNAcentral.
AGGAAAGGCUUAGGUGGAUACCUAGGCACCUAGAGACAAGGAAGGGCAUAGUAAUCGACAAAAUGCUUCGGGAAGUUGAAAAUAAGCAUAGAUCUAGAGAUUCCUGAAUAGGGAAACCUUUCAAACUACUGCUGAAUCCAUGGGUAGGCAAGAGACAAACUGGCGAACUGAAACAUCUUAAUAGCUAGAGAAAAACAAAGUUAAAUCGAUUCCCGUAGUAGCGGCGAGUGAAAUGGGAGCAGCCUAAAUUGUGAAAUCGGGGUUGUGGGAGAGCAAUACAAACAUCGUGCUGCUAGGCGAAGCGGCAAAAAUGCAGCACCCUAGAUGGCGAAAGUCCAGUAGCCGAAAGCAUCACUUGCUUAUGCUCUGACCUGAGUAGCAUGGGACACGUGGAAUCCCAUGUGAAUCAGCAAGGACCACCUUGCAAGGCUAAAUACUCCUGGGUGACCGAUAACGAAGUAGUACCUGAGGAAAAAGUGAAAAGAACCCCCAUCUGGGAGUGAAAUAGAACAUGAAACCGUAAGCUCCAACGUAGUGGGAGGAGCCAGGGCUCUGACCGCAUGUCUAUUGAAGAAUGAGCCGGCGACUCAUAGGUAGUGGCUUGGUUAAGGGAACCCACCAGAGCCACAGCGAAAGCGAGUCUUCAUAGGGUAAUGGUCACUGCUUAUGGACCCGAACUUGGGUGAUCUAUCCAUGACCAGGAUGAAGGGGUGAAACUAAGUGUUGAUCAGAACCGACUUAUGUUGAAGAAUUAGCGGAUGAGUUGUGGUUAGGGGUGAAAUUCCACUCGAAACCAGAGCUAGCUGGUUCUCCCCGAAAUACGUUGAGGCGCAGCAGUUGACUGGACAUCUAGGGGUAAAGCAUUGUUUCGAUGUGGGCCACGAGAGCAGUACCAAAUCGAGGUAAAUUCUGAAUACUAGAUAUGACCUAAAAAUAACAGGGGUCAAAGUCGACCAAUGAGAUGAUAGGGGAUAAGCUUCAUCAUCGAGAGGGAAACAGCCCGAAUCAACAACUAGGCCCCCAAAUGAUCGCUCAGUGAUAAAGGGGGUAGGGGUGCAGAGACAGUCAGGAGGUUUGCCUUGAAGCAGCCACCAUUGAAAGAGUGCGUAAUAGCUCACUGAUCGAGCGAUCUUACGCCAAAUAUGAACCGGGCUAAGUGAUCUGCCAAAGCUGUGGGAUGUAAAAAUACAUCGAUAUGGGAGCAUUCUGUCUUAGAGGGAAGCCUCCACGCGAGCAGCGGUGGACGAAGCGGAAGCGAGAAUGUCGGCUUGAGUAACGUAAACAUUAGUGAGAAUCCAAUGCCUCGAAAACCUAAGGGUUCCUCCGCAAGGUUCAUCCAUAGAAUGUGAGUCAGGGCCUAAGAUCAUGCCAAAAGGCGUAGUCGAUGGACAACAGGUGAAUAUUCCUGUACUAUCCCUUGUUGGUCCAGAGGGAUGGAGCAGGCUAGGUUAGCCGAAAGAUGGUUAUCGUUUCAAGAACGUAAGGUGCCCCUGCUUUUUUAGGGUAAGAAGGGGUAGACAAAAUGCCUCGAGCCAAUGUUCGAGCACCAGGCGCUACGGCGCUGAAGUCCCACACAAUACUCCCAGGAAAAGCUCAAACAACCUUAAAAUAUAAACAAAAGGGUACCUGUACCAGAAACCGAUACAGGUGGGUAAGUAGAGAAUACCUAGGGGCGUGAGGCAACACUCUCUAAGGAACUUGACAAAAUAGCCCCAUAACUUCAGGAGAAGGGGUGCCUCCUCACAAAGGGGGUCGCAGUGACCAGGCCCGUGCGACUGUUUACCAAAAGCACAGGUCUCCACAAAGUCGUAAGACCAUGUAUGGGGACUGACGCCUACCUAGUGCCGGAAGGUCAAGAAAGUUAGUGACCUAAUGACAGGGGAGCAGGCGACCAAAGCCUUGGCGAACGGUGGCCGUAACUAUAACAAUCCUAAGGUAGCAAAAUUCUUUAUCGAGUAAGUUCCGACCCACACGAAAGGCGUAACGAUCUGGGCACUGUCUCGGAGAGAGGCUCGAUGAAAUAGACAUGUCUGUGAAGAUGCGGACUACCUGCACCUGGCUAGAAAGACCCUAUGAAGCUUGACUAUUCCCUGGGAUUGGGUUUGGGCCUUUCCUGCGCAGCUUAGGUGGAAGGCUAAGAAGGCCUCCUUCCGGGGGGCCCGAGCCAUCAGUGAGGUACUACUCUAGAAGAGCUAGAAUUCUAACCUUGUGUUAGGACCUACGGGCCAAGGGACAGUCUCAGGUAGAUAGUUUCUAUGGGGCGUAGGCCUCCCAAAAGGUAACAGAGUCGUGCAAAUGUUUCCUCGGGCCGGACGGAGAUUGGCCCUCAUGGGCAAAGGCAGAAGAGAGCUUGACUGCAAGACCCACCCGUCGAGCAGAGACGAAAGUCGGCCUUAGUGAUCCGACGGUGCCGAGUGGAAGGGCCGUCGCUCAAUGGAUAAAAGUUACUCUAGGGGUAAUAGGUUGAUCUUCCCCAAGAGCUCACAUCGACGGAAAGGUUUGUCACCUCAAUGUCGGCUCUUCACCACCUGGGGCUGUAGUAUGUUCCAAGGGUUGGGUUGUUCGCCCAUUAAAGUGGUACGUGAGUUGGGUUCAGAACGUCGUGAGAUAGUUUGGUCCAUAUCCGGUGUGGGCGUUAGAGCAUUGAGAGGAACUUUCCCUAGUAUGAGAGGACCGAAAUGGACGCACCUUUGGUGUACUAGUUAUCGUGUCCACGAUAAACGCUGGGUAGCCAAGUGCGGAGCAGAUAACUGCUGAAAGCAUCUAAGUAGUAAGCCCACCCCAAGAUGAGUGCUCUCCUAUUCUGACUUCCUCAGAGCUUCCGAUAGCACAGUCGAGGCAGUGAUGGGUUCUCUGCCCCUGUGGGGAUGGAGCGACAGAAGUUUUGAGAAUUCAAGAGAAUGUCACGGCGAGACGAGCCAUUUAUCAUUACGAUAGGUAUCAAGUGGAAGUGCAGUGA